GGGACUCGAAAUUUUCUUACUCGAUAUCGUCAAGAGCUAGAGAUCCAAAGAACAUGACAACCAACGCACCCGGAGACGACAACAACAACAACGGCGCGGAGAAGGACGCUCCACCAUCAAGCACGACAAUGACAACCACGGAAGCCCUGGAGGAGAUGCAAAACAUGAUGGCCACGUUGAUGAAGAAAAUCGACGAGCAGGAUAAGAGGAACAAAGCGAUUACGGAGAGACUCGACGCAAUGACGGCUGAAAGACGACACCCGACUUGGAGAGCCAGGAUCUCCGAUCCGACAGAUGGAGUCAGGAGACGCUUUGGUUUCUCGACACCUGCAGGAGCAUCCGGUAGCGGCAUAAGAAUCCCAUGGCUCCACCAAUGUUUUGUCCCCUCGGC
This 391-nucleotide long non-coding RNA is filed under the name Eutrema salsugineum. RNAcentral describes it as "long non-coding RNA (ESAL_LNC000295)". The record is from RNAcentral. Lineage: Eukaryota; Viridiplantae; Streptophyta; Magnoliopsida; Brassicales; Brassicaceae.